Molecule: ribosomal RNA, 253 nt
Filed under: uncultured bacterium
Lineage: Bacteria
Description: partial 16S ribosomal RNA
Rfam family: Bacterial small subunit ribosomal RNA
Source: RNAcentral
UACGAAGGGGGCUAGCGUUGUUCGGAAUUACUGGGCGUAAAGCGCGCGUAGGCGGCGAUCUUUGUCAGGGGUGAAAUCCCGGAGCUCGUCUCCGGAAUUGCCUUUGAAACGGGAUUGCUUGAGUCCGAGAGAGGAUGGCGGAAUUCCUAGUGUAGAGGUGAAAUUCGUAGAUAUUAGGAAGAACACCAGUGGCGAAGGCGGCCAUCUGGCUCGGUACUGACGCUCAGGCGCGAAAGCGUGGGUAGCAAACAGG